UACGUAGGGUGCGAGCGUUAAUCGGAAUUACUGGGCGUAAAGCGUGCGCAGGCGGUUUUGUAAGCCAGAUGUGAAAGCCCCGGGCUUAACCUGGGAAUGGCAUUUGGGACUGCAAGGCUUGAGUGCGGCAGAGGAGACUGGAAUUCCUGGUGUAGCAGUGAAAUGCGUAGAUAUCAGGAGGAAUACCGAUGGCGAAGGCAGGUCUCUGGGCUGACACUGACGCUCAUGCACGAAAGCGUGGGGAGCAAAC
This 250-nucleotide ribosomal RNA is filed under the name uncultured bacterium. Its description in RNAcentral is "partial 16S ribosomal RNA". It matches the Rfam family "Bacterial small subunit ribosomal RNA", at positions 524 to 773 of the family's 1533-position model. The record is from RNAcentral.